Molecule: ribosomal RNA, 258 nt
Filed under: uncultured bacterium
Lineage: Bacteria
Description: partial small subunit ribosomal RNA
Rfam family: Bacterial small subunit ribosomal RNA
Source: RNAcentral
AGGACGAACGCUGGCGGCGUGCUUAACACAUGCAAGUCGAGCGAGGCCCUUCCUCCGGGAAGGUGCCCUAGCGGCGAACGGGUGAGUAACACGUGGGCAACCUGCCCCUAGCACUGGGAUAACUCCGGGAAACCGGGGCUAAUACCGGAUAUGACCUCCGAGGGCAUCCUUGGUGGUGUAAAGGAUUCUGGCUAGGGAUGGGCCCGCGGCCUAUCAGCUUGUUGGUGGGGUAAUGGCCUACCAAGGCGACGACGGGUA